CUGGGGGACGAGGACCUCACCUGCAAGACAUGACUCCCAUGUGGCUCUUCCUCUUCCUGCUGUCAGCUCCCAGAUGUGUCCUGUCCCAGGUGCAGCUGCAGGAGUCGGGCCCAGGAGUGGUGAAGCCCUCACAGGCCCUCUCCCUCACCUGCUCUGUCUCCGGAUUCUCCAUCACAAGCACUUAUUCCUACUGGCAUUGGAUCCGCCAGGCUCCAGGGAAGGGGCUGGAGUGGAUGGGGUGCAUAUGGUAUAAUGGAAACACUUACUACAGCCCCUCCCUCAAGAGCCGAACCUCCAUCUCCCGAGACACGUCCAAGAACCAGUUCUCCCUGCAGCUGAGCUCCGUGACCACCGAGGACACAGCCGUGUAUUACUGUGCAAGAGACACAGUGAGGGGA
This is a non-coding RNA of Myotis daubentonii (Daubenton's bat), 398 nucleotides long. The record is from the annotation of a RefSeq genome assembly. Lineage: Eukaryota; Metazoa; Chordata; Mammalia; Chiroptera; Vespertilionidae.